RNAcentral lists this long non-coding RNA (6593 nucleotides) under Gossypium raimondii (Peruvian cotton). RNAcentral's name for it is "long non-coding RNA (GRAI_LNC002688)". Lineage: Eukaryota; Viridiplantae; Streptophyta; Magnoliopsida; Malvales; Malvaceae. The record is from RNAcentral.
UUUUCAAAGUUUUUUCUCUUUUGAAAUAAAUCAGACUGGAACUUUUAUUAAUGGAACCAAACCCAAAGCAAACAAAUAAAACAAAGUCAUGACUAAAAGCAAGCCCGAAACUAGGCCCAACAAGUAAAAGAAAAGAAAAAAGGCAAAACGACUAUUCUAGAAAAGUUGUCCAGUCACGAUUCUUGAAGCUGGAAAUCAUCCACAUUCCCAAAAAUAAUUAUCAUAUCCCGAUGAGACCAUUCAAUGCUUCCAAAGACAGACCCCAGCUCACAGCAUCCUCUCCAUCGGUUAUGUUCCUCCCAAUCCCUCAGUCAGGCUCCCUCUCUCUUUGUUUGCUAAGGUCCGUAGAAUCCACCGCAUAAUGAGGCACUAGUCUUUCCAGGUACAAUUCUUCUCCACGUUUUAAACUCUCUUUUGCGAUUAAAUGUGUCGUCUGAUUCGCUGAUCUUUGGAUAUACUUGAAUCGUAUGGUUUGAGAAUUUGUUGCGAACUGCUUGAUAUCUCUGAUGUAUGCCCCCGAUUUCUACUUUAUCCUCAGCAGUAGAAUUACAUUUCUUGAUAAUAACAAAUGCAUCUCCUUCUAUUUCAACCUUCCUCGCCCCCCCGAGUACAUGCACAAGCCUCAGCAAAAAAGGGGGAUGCAGUCGCCUCUUCCAAAGUUGCUUGCGAGGCCAGAACCUCACCUCUAUCGUUUCGAGCAAUCAGUCCCGAUGCCAAUCAGAACAUUUCACGAUUGUAGGCCGCAUCAAAGUUAAUGUGAAUAAAUCCAGACUCCGGAGGUUUCCAACGCACAUAAAGAAACUGUUUGGUGAUUCCUCACCCCCAACUCUUCAAAUUCCCUAAUACAUUUGAAAGUCUGUUCAGCAAUUCCUCUGCCUGAAAUGCUUUUGCGUUCUUGGAUUUUCCUAUUUCUUUCAGUCCAGAUAACCCAGGUCGCACAACAAAAUAGUUGACAUUGAUAGUUUGAUGCUCUGCGAAACACCCAGGUAAGCCAAUCACACAGCACCAGAUUCACUUCCGAGGAAACCCACUCAAGAUCUAAGUGUUUCCAUGCUUCAAUUAAAAUAGGACACUCUCUAAACACGUGGUCAGUGGUCUCAAGUCUCCACUCCCAUUUCACACCGUGGACAGAUAGUGUUGACUUGAAGCCUUCUGUGAUGUAGGUUGGAUGGGGUUGGUAGAAAAUUCCAGGAAAUUUUCCAUAAUGUAAUUUUUUGUUUUGGUAGCAAGUUUGAGGGACCAAAGGUUUUUUGUAAAAUUUUGUCAAAUUAUUCCAUACCUCAUUAGUAGGAAAGUCGCUUGAAUGUUCAAGCAAAAACUUGUAUCCACUCCAAACCGAGUGCUCGCCAAAAGAUUCACCCUUCCACACCAAAAAGUCAUCGUGUACCACUGAAGCUAAAGGGAUUCUCAAAAUUCCUCUUGCAUCAAACUCAAAAAAGGUAUUCGCAAUAACUUCAGCUCUCCAUGUUCUUGAACUACUAUCAAUUAAAUAUGAAACCUUAGUGACAUUACAAUUGUUGACUACCUCUAUACUUAAAAAAAUUUUAGCUCCUGGGAUCCGAGCAUCGCCAACAAUAGAUAUCUUGUCCCCCUUCCCACCUGCCAACAAAGUCCCUUAUCAAGGAGGCCUCUUGAUGCUCAGAUACUAUGCCAGGUAUAGGAAAGUAGAUUCCCUAACCUUGCUUCUAUAAAGUCACAAUUCGGGUAACAUUUGGCCUUUAAAACACGUGCUAACAAUGAAUUCUAGUUGCAAACGAAACGCCACCCUUGUUUUGCUAACAACACGAGAUUAAAUUUCUCAAGAUUACCAAAACCCAAACCUCUCAGUUCUUUUAACUUACAUAAACCAUUCCAAACACACCAAUGAAUACCCUUUUUACCAUGACUUUUUUACCACCAAAAUUUAGCUAUUAUGUUCUCCAAAUCUUUAUACAGUGAUUUCGGUAACAAAAACCACAUCAUAGAAUAAGUUGGAAUGGCAUGAAGGACAGCUUUAAUAAAUACCUCCUUCCCCUCUUGACACAAAAAGCGAGUGCUCCAACUAUCUAUCUUCUUUUUGAUCUUAUCUUUUAGGGUUUGAAAAGCUAACCACUUUUGUCAUCCCACUACACUUGGAAGCCCCAAGUAUAGCUCUGGGUUAUUCGAAACCUUUACCCAUAAGGUUCUCGAAACUAAAAGCUUCUCACUCUCGCUAGUGUUCGUAUUGAAGAAAACCUUGGACUUAUCGUAGUUGAUACAUUCAUUAAGAACCUUUUUCAAAACAUGAACACCCCUUUCAUUUGCUUCACCAAAUAAGAUACAAUCAUCAGGAAAAAGCAAAUGCGAAACUUGUGGUCCCCUUUGACUAACCUUGACCCCUUUUAACAACCCUUUUCUCAAAGCACAUUUCAUUAAGAUAGUCCUUCACUACAAACCAAAAAGAGAAAGGGACUCAAAGGAUCCUCUUGUCGUAACCCUCUGCUUGGUUGAAAGACCUUCCCAACUUGCCCAUCAAUGAUCACUGAAUACUGAACUGAGGAUAUACAUUGCAUAAUCAAAUCAAUCCACGACAAAGCAAACCCCUUCCUCUUCUUCAUAACUCAAAGAAAAUCCCACUCCACCCUAUCGUAUACUUUGUUCAUAUCAAGCUUUAAAGUUAUAAAUUCUUUUUUCCUGGCCCGUUUCUAUUUUAGAAUGUAAAACCUCAUAAGCUAGUAGCACAUUAUUUGAAAUCAAUCUCUCUAGCACGAAGGCACUUUGACUACUAUCAAUGCAAUAAUCUAACACUCUUUGAAACCUAUUAGCUAUUACUUUUGCUAUCAACUUGUAAAUUACUGUACAUCAUCUAAUAAGUCGAAAGUUUUUUAAAUGCAUUGCAUGUGGGACUUUCGGGAUUAAAAAAGUGUUUGUGGAAUUCAAAGAAUCCAAAGCAAUACCUUCAUUCAACAGCUUUAAACAGAGAGCAAUAACUUUCGUCCCUACGACAUGCCAUCAUCGUUGAAAAAACAAAGCUAGGAAACUGUCAUCGCCUGAGGCUUUUGUCAGCCCUAUCCCUUUCAAUGCAACCACUGUUUCAUCCUCAGUAUACCAUUCCAUCAACAUUGAAUUGGCUUCAUUCGAAGUACAUCUUCCCACUCCUCCUUAAAUAUGAUUUAUAUCCCUCACUCCAUUUGUCGUGAAAAUCUCUUGGAAAUAAGAACGAGCCACUUCUUCCAUCUCUAUAAUCUCUGUAGUCAUUCUGCCAUCUUCACACUAUAAUCCCCCUAUUUUGUUUGUUCUUCGGCCGUGUGAAGCAAAAUUAUGAAAAACUUUUAUGUUCUUAUCACCCAAUCUUAACCAAUUAGCUUUAGCCCUCUACUCUCAAAACAUUUCAUCUUUGUCAAUUUCCAAAUUUAAUUGGAUUCUUGAUCAAUCAAUUCUACAAGAUUCUUAUCGUCCCGUUCCUUCUCCAGUAGCUCCCCCAAUUUAUUCGUCAACUCCUCCUUAAUCCUAACCCUCUACUUCUUGAUUAAUUUUGCCCACUCUAUUAAGUCCUUCACUUGCUCCAGCUUACUCCAUGCAUCUCCAAUACCUUUUGCCCAUAAACCAUUUACCUCCUAUAUUCCUUCAUUACCCACCAAGCUUCAAAUCGGAAUUUUUUUAGCUUAUUAUUUGACUUCUUUUGCUCAAGAGAAACAUGGAUAAGACAAUGAUCAGAAUAUGAAUGUGGGAGAUGGCGAACCCCCAUAUUAGGAAAUAAAGUCAUCAUUCCAUCAUUUGCAACACCCCUACCUAUAGGGGUGUGCAAAAUUCGGGUAAAACCGAAAAAAUUCGGUUAACCAACCGAAUUCGGUUAAUUGGUCGGUUAACCGAAUUUUUUCGGUCGGGGGUCGGUUAAUUAUUUUUUGAUUUUUCGGUUAACGGUUAAUUCGGUUCGAAACUGGUCGGUUAAUCGAAUUUUUUCGGUUAACCGAAAAAAUUAAUAAAAAAUUAUAAUAUAUAAAUAGGCCCACUAUUCACCUAAACCCAAUCUAAACCCAAGUAUUCAACCCAACCCAACCCAAUCAUAAAAUUAAAUUACAAAUAAUUUAAUAAAUAAAAAUAAAAUUUUAAAACUAAGACUAAAACUAAAGUCUAAAAGUCUAAAAAUAAUUUAAUUAUGUAGUGAUUUAAUUUGGUUAAUUUGGUUAAUUCGGGUAAUUCUGUUAAUUUUGGUAAUUCGGUUAAUUCGGGUAAUUCGGUUAAUUCGGUUAAUUUUUAACCAAAAAUAAUAAAAAAAAUAUAAUUUUCGGUUUUCGGUUAACCGACCGAAUUAACCGAAAAAAUUUCGGUUCGGUUAAUUUUUUUUAAAAAAAUUUCGGUUCGGUUAACGGUUAAAGAUUUUGAAAGGUCGGUUAAUUCGGUUAAUGUUAUUUCGGGAAACCAUGGUCCAGAAUAACCUACAUCCACCAAUUGACAUUCCUUUAGAACUUCCCGUAACAACUCCAUUCUCCUCUCACCCCUUGGUAACCCUCCUUUCUUUUCAAAAGAAUACAUAAUUUCAUUAAAGUCACCACACAUCAUCCAUGGAAGAUUUUGCAAACAGCUCAAGGUUUUUAGAAUACUCCAUGUAUCAACUCUUCCACUAGCAUAAGGAGCCCCAUAGAACCUAGUAAAUCAAGUCUAUAGUAUUUUAUUUUACUAAUUUCUCUAGUAAAUUAUUUCAUAUAUUUUUUUCAAAUAAAUAAAACAAAAUUGAUGAGGAGAGAUAUAAAAAAAUGAGGAAAAAGUUUUUUAUUUAUUAAAACAUAUUAUUUGUUAUGGAUAAAUGAUAAAUUUGACCAAAAUGAUAAAAAAAUGAUGGUAAUUUUUUUUAUAAAAGUAAUAUUUCGAGUAAAAUGUAAAAGACAGGAUGUAAUAUAACAGUUUAAAUGUUUAAAAUUUCCUCAACUCAUAAUAAUAAAUAAAGAUAUGUAUAGUUGAGAUGUUACUUGAAGCAUAUAUCAAAGAACUAGAGAAUUUGAUUUAUUGAUUUUUAUUAUUAUUAUUAUUUACUUAACAAAAAUGAAUUGAAGUCAUUAAAAAUGAGAGUAAAUUGUUGAGUAUGUCACGUUAUCAAGGGAAUGUAAGACUAACCUAAGAAAUAUGUGAUAUUGAAAAUUAGCCUUAAAUUUUGAAAAAUUGACAUGGCUGGAAAUGUGAGAUUAUCAACUUUAUGUAAUGUUUGAAAUCUAAAUACGAGAAUUCUAUGCUAAAAUUGCACGCUAUCUUAAGAAUGUCGUGGGUAGAUUGAUUCUAUAUAAAUUGAAUUCUCCUCCUUUCCUUUUCGUAAUCAAAGAGUUUGUGAGACUUCUUCUGUAUACCACCAAAAUUUGGUGGAUCUUUGGAGUCAAAAUUAUGACAAACCCGGUAAAAAAAUAAAAGAAAAAAAACCCAACCUAAUUCAACUUAAAUCGAAUCUAAUAUUGAGUCACACGGAGCUAAGAAUGCCUUGCUAUAUUGUAUGUAUUUGUUGACACAUUAGAAUUUGAAAAACAAAGAUAUUUUCAUAAACAUAAUUUCAUUUAGAAUCUCAUAUAUAUAUAUAUAUUUAUAUAUAUAGUGUAUAGAGAGAAAUAUAAAAUAAAAAAAAUUAUAUUUAUUCUAACUCUAUAAUUUAGAAUUUAGAUUUAUUCUAAUUUUAUAGAUAAUAGAAUAACUCAAACAAACCCUAAAGAUUUGGAUUUAGAUGGAAUAUAAUAAACUUAAGUUUAAAUUUACAAAAAAAAUAAUAAUUAUGUUGUUAGAAAACAAAACAAAAGCUUAUUGAACGUAUAAAACCGGUUUUGUUAUUAGUGCCUCAUCCAUCCCGACCUCAUUGUGGCAUGACUUUACUUAUCAUGACCUCGUUAAGAGAAACACUUCAUCAAUGCCAAAUUUCAUGGACAUAUAUACAAGGGCGACAUUAAGAGGGGCUAGCAAGGAUUAAGGCCUCCUUAAAAUGGAAAAAUAUUACAUUAACCCGUUUAUAUUUUAUAAAAUUAUAAAUGAGAGUUAAAUUGCACUUUAUCCUCCCCAAAAGAUAAAAAUUUAACUUAAUAUAAUUAUGAAAUUGCAUUCUAACUCUAAAAAGAAUACAUAACUUAAUUCUCCCUUUACCCCCCUCCACAAAAAAAAAAAUUUGACUUCACCCCAGCAUGCAUACACAUAGUGCAUGAAGCUUCUUUAAUCUACUUUGCUAAUGAUAGGUGUUGUGUCCUCCCUUACAUGGCUCACACGUGGGAUCUCUCUUAAUCUAUCUUCUUCCUAUCACCGCCUAUCUAGAAGGGUAUUGUGCUCUCUAAGUGGCCAACCAUGAUGAAACCCGCGCCGUACAUGUGUUAAGAUCCAAAGCUAAGAGAUGAUCAUCCUCAAAAAUAAAUACUUGUCCUUAGCCUUGGCAAGUCUUAACUUUAUGUUUCUACUACUAUUCAGGGGAGGGGCCGAAUGUAAAUUAUAGAUAUUUUAGGGAGAGGGCCAAGGCCAUUGCUAGCUCCCAUCUAGUUUUCCCAUUGCUACCACUCCUUCAAAGAACACCCUAAACCUCUUACUUUACAUUUCACAACUCUCAAUACACUUAUCAUCAUGUGAAUUGUCACUUCUUUCUUUUACCGUGUUUUUCCUUCACUAAAUUUUCA